AGUUUAUUCCUUUCUCUCUUUCCCAGCCAUGGCCUCUCAGCCACCAGUCACCUCUUCCCCCAACCCCCUGACCUCCCACUUCUCUUCUCAAUUCAACUGCUCUUCAGGAUUUCUGGUUGCACUACCUCUGGAGACAAGACUCUAGCAUUUGUUCAGAGUUACCUGACCCUCAGGAAGAUUUAGGCUUUUUUUUUUUCUCCCAUCUCACCUUGUAUAAAUAUGUCUUCUCAGUAUAGUAAUGUCAUUGGAUUGAGGAUACUUGUUUGCAGAGGAGGCAAGAAUGCGUUGUUCCGUUUUUGAAUUCCACACAUCUAAUAUGGAGCCUGAGCCACAGGGCUCAAAAUGUUAAGUAAACAAAUGAAUGGGAAAUUAAUAAGAAGAAUGCAUUGGCAAGACCGUGAAGGUACAUUUCUAGGAGUGAAUGUGAGUCUGUCGGACCAUGUGGCAAUGUGUAUUUGUAAUUCUUUUUAAAUGCACAAGUUUGAGGACUGUGUUGAGUAUUGGGUAGUAUCUCUUUGAAGUGUAUUUUUUACUUGACUGUGCUUUUAAAUAAAGAAUGGCUGUGUCAGUAUGAUCUUGGCUAUGUCUAAUUACUAUUUUUGUGAAAUGGGACAAAUAAAGCUUGUUCUUUAUAGAGCACUGCUCUUGUAGUGUGCAUGUGUGUGAUGGCUUGUGUAUUUGAGUGCUUUGGAGGGGCCGUGUUCCUGGAGAACAAUCUAUUGACACUGAUGGUGGGCUGAGUAGUAAGCUUAAGAAAUUUCCCUGACUUCAAGGAAUUUACAACAUCCUUGCGGGGGAUUUAGACUCUGAUGUAAUUAUUCUCAGGACAUAUAAUAAAGUACUAAAUUGCUCAUCAAAGACAAUCAGAUAAUACAUAUUAAAAAGCUAAUUGUGCAGUAAAAACAAGUGCAAAAGAAGUCAGUGGGGGAAAGAUAAGCUUGAAUUGGAACUACCAGAAAUGUCUUAUGAAGAGAGGGAUUUUUCUUUCCAUUUUGUCUACUGUCCAAUGAAAAGCUCAGCAGACCCAGCAAUCCCAUUACUGGGUAUAUACCCAAAGGAAUACAAGUCAUUCUUUUAUAAAGAUACAUGCACCAUAUGCUUAUUGCAGCACAUUCGCAAUAGCAAAGACAUGGAAUCAACCUAAAUGUCCAUCAGUGAUAAAGAAAAUGUGGUACAUAUACACCAUGGAAUAUGAUACAGCCAUAAAAAGCAAUGAGAUCAUUCCCUUGCAGGGACAUGGAUGGAACUGGAAGCCAUUAUUCUCAGCAAACUAACACAGGAACAGAAAACCAAACACUGCAUAUUCUUACUUACAAGUGGGAGCUGAAUGAUGAGAACACAUGGACACAUGGGGAUGGGGAACAACAAAUGCUGGGGCCUGUCUGGGGUGGGGACUUGGGGAGGGAGAACAUCAGGAAGAAUAGCUAAUGGAUGCUGGGCUUAAAACCUAGGUGAUGGGAUGAUCUGUGCAGCAAACCACCAUGGCACACUUUUACGUAUGUAACAAACCUGCACAUUCUUCACAUGUACCCCUGAACUUAAAAGUAAAAAAUAAGGCUUAACAGAACAUUUUUUAGGGCAUCUCAGCUUCCCUUUUUCCAGCUGAUAAGAAUGUUUUGACUUAGUUCUUGUUCAUAUUGAGGCCCCAGUCCCCUGUUUGGCUUGAUGCUAGUGGCAAUUAGGGGUGCAAUUGGAGUCAGAGAAUUUCUUCCUCCAGGUAGGUCCCUGUGUUCCACCAAUGCAAAGGAUUGCUUGGGUUCAGGUUCCUGUGGCCCUUGGACUACAGUCAGAAUUCUCAGUGUCCUCAGUGUUCUGAUUUUUUAAUGUCUAAACACACUUCACACCUAAGAUCUGAUAAUCUGGAAACUGAACCUAAGAAGAAAUGGUAUGGCAGCUAGCUUCCAAGAUGGUACCCAAUGAGCCAUUUCAUGCCUGUGUAGUGCUUUUCCACAUUGAUAGGGCUGAUUUUUGCAACCAGUAAGAUAUUGUGUAACUGGUGGUGUGUGACUUCCUAGGCUGCAUCAUGAAAUACUUAAUUUUUGCCUUGUUCUGUCUUGGAAAGAAGGCCUGCCAUGGGAAGCUUUGGGAAGAAGCCAGCUGCCAUGUUGUGAGAACUCUCAAGCAGCUGUGUGGAGAGAUCCAUGUGGUGAGGAACUGAAGCCUCCUACCCACCAUCAAGUCAGUGGCUCACUACUGUUGCAGUGAAUUCUCCAGCCCAUGAAGACUUUAGAUGAUUUACCCAACAUCUUGAUUAUAGCCUCAUGGAUUCCCUGAGCCAGAACAACCCAGCUAAGCCUCUCCUGAAUUCCUUACCUACAGAAACUGUGAGAUAAUAAAUAUUUAUUCUUUUAAGCCAUCAAAUUUUGGGUAAUUUAUUAUGCAGUAAUAUGU
This 2391-nucleotide long non-coding RNA is filed under the name Homo sapiens (human). RNAcentral's name for it is "non-protein coding lnc-CRP-2:3". The record is from RNAcentral. Lineage: Eukaryota; Metazoa; Chordata; Mammalia; Primates; Hominidae.